RNAcentral lists this transfer RNA (72 nucleotides) under Camelus bactrianus (Bactrian camel). It matches the Rfam family "tRNA". From Rfam's summary of the family: Transfer RNA (tRNA) molecules are approximately 80 nucleotides in length. Their secondary structure includes four short double-helical elements and three loops (D, anti-codon, and T loops). Further hydrogen bonds mediate the characteristic L-shaped molecular structure. tRNAs have two regions of fundamental functional importance: the anti-codon, which is responsible for specific mRNA codon recognition, and the 3' end, to which the tRNAs corresponding amino acid is attached (by aminoacyl-tRNA synthetases). tRNAs cope with the degeneracy of the genetic code in two manners: having more than one tRNA (with a specific anti-codon) for a particular amino acid; and 'wobble' base-pairing, i.e. permitting non-standard base-pairing at the 3rd anti-codon position. The record is from Rfam by way of RNAcentral. Lineage: Eukaryota; Metazoa; Chordata; Mammalia; Artiodactyla; Camelidae. RNAcentral also lists the same sequence under 2 other names.
GAGGGUACAGCUCAGUGGCAGAGCACAUGCUUAGCAUGCACGAGGCCCUGGGUUCAAUCCCCAGUACCUCCA